RNAcentral lists this ribosomal RNA (440 nucleotides) under uncultured bacterium. RNAcentral describes it as "partial 16S ribosomal RNA". It matches the Rfam family "Bacterial small subunit ribosomal RNA", at positions 338 to 795 of the family's 1533-position model. The record is from RNAcentral.
CCUACGGGUGGCAGCAGUGGGGAAUAUUGCACAAUGGGGGAAACCCUGAUGCAGCGACGCCGCGUGAGUGAAGAAGUAUUUCGGUACGGAAAGCUCUAUCAGCAGGGAAGAAAAUGACGGAACCUGACUAAGAAGCACCGGCUAACUACGUGCCAGCAGCCGCGGUAAUACGUAGGGGGCAAGGAUUGUCCGGAUUUACUGGCUGUAACGGGAGCGUAGACGGCAGCGCAAGUCUGGAGUGAAAUCCCAUGGCUUAACCAUGGAACUGCGUUGGAAACUGUGCAGCUAGAGUGCAGGAGAGGUACGCGGAAUUCCUAGUGUAGCGGUGAAAUGCGUAGAUAUUAGGAGGAACACCAGUGGCGAAGGCGGCUUACUGGACUGUAACUGACGUUGAGGCUCGAAAGCGUGGGGAGCAAACAGGAUUAGAUACCCCUGUAGUC